AUGUGCAUGACAUUCUUUCAACCCCUGUGAAUCCCAUACACUUACAAUGCAAAAAAUGCAUCAACUCAAUUCUAAAUGAAGGGUGCAGCCAAUUGUGUUAAAUAUUGCAAUUUGCAUAAUUCCGCGCGUCAAUGUUUGCUUGAAUGUAGAAAUGUACUUGGGUAUACACCUUGGUACAUCAAGUUUGUUCAUGUUGGUGUAGUUACUAUGUAAUCCCGAUUCCAUGCCUGAUUAUCUGGAUGUGGAUAGUACCAAUUCACAUUCCCCAUCGCCCCUCCGAGCACUCCGGCAACUAAUAGGAACUCACUGCCGCCUAACAUAAGCCCUGUGAG
Molecule: unclassified non-coding RNA, 332 nt
Filed under: Ostreopsis sp. CBA L102
Lineage: Eukaryota; Dinophyceae; Peridiniales; Ostreopsidaceae
Description: sequence contains 18S rRNA gene, ITS1, 5.8S rRNA gene, ITS2, 28S rRNA gene
Source: RNAcentral